GUAGGUGGCAAGCGUUGUCCGGAAUUAUUGGGCGUAAAGCGCGCGCAGGUGGUUCUUUAAGUCUGAUGUGAAAGCCCCCGGCUCAACCGGGGAGGGUCAUUGGAAACUGGGGAACUUGAGUGCAGGAGAGGAAAGUGGAAUUCCACGUGUAGCGGUGAAAUGCGUAGAUAUGUGGAGGAACACCAGUGGCGAAGGCGACUUUCUGGCCUGUAACUGACACUGAGGCGCGAAAGCGUGGGGAGCAAACAGGGAUUAGAUACCCUGGUAGUCCACGCCGUAAACGAUGAGUGCUAAGUGUUGGGGGGGUUUCCCGCCCCUCAGUGCUGCAGCCAACGCAUUAAGCACUCCGCCUGGGGAUACGGUCGCAAGACUG
Molecule: ribosomal RNA, 373 nt
Filed under: uncultured organism
Description: partial 16S ribosomal RNA
Rfam family: Bacterial small subunit ribosomal RNA
Source: RNAcentral